RNAcentral lists this ribosomal RNA (497 nucleotides) under uncultured bacterium. RNAcentral describes it as "partial 16S ribosomal RNA". It matches the Rfam family "Bacterial small subunit ribosomal RNA", at positions 28 to 507 of the family's 1533-position model. The record is from RNAcentral.
GAUGAACGCUGGCGGCGUGCCUAAUACAUGCAAGUCGAGCGAACAGACGAGGAGCUUGCUCCUCUGACGUUAGCGGCGGACGGGUGAGUAACACGUGGAUAACCUACCUAUAAGACUGGGAUAACUUCGGGAAACCGGAGCUAAUACCGGAUAAUAUAUUGAACCGCAUGGUUCAAUAGUGAAAGACGGUUUUGCUGUCACUUAUAGAUGGAUCCGCGCCGCAUUAGCUCGUUGGUAGGGUACCGGCUUACCAAGGCAACGCUGCGUCGCCGACCUGAGAGGGUGAGCGGCCACACUGGAACUGAGACACGGGCCAGACUCCUACGGGAGGCAGCAGGAGGGAAUCUGCCGCAAUGGGCGAAAGCCUGACGGAGCAACGCCGCGUGAGUGAUGAAGGUCUUCGGAUCGUAAAACUCUGUUAUUAGGGAAGAACAAAUGUGUAAGUAACUAUGCACGUCUUGACGGUACCUAAUCAGAAAGCCACGGCUAACUACGUG